Musa acuminata AAA Group (dessert banana) is the source of this 3915-nucleotide RNA transcript. It is a transcript of the gene named DNA replication licensing factor MCM6, with no coding region annotated. NCBI's taxonomy places the organism in Eukaryota, Viridiplantae, Streptophyta, Magnoliopsida, Zingiberales, Musaceae. The transcript has 19 exons. The record is from RefSeq and is a predicted model, not a curated record.
UCCCCAUUAGAUCCGUUCGUAACCUCCGACCGACCUCUUCGAUCAAUCGAAAGGGCUACAGGGAGAGCGUGAUUGCUACCGGGAUGGAUGCCUUCGGGGGGUUCUUCGUCGAUGAGAAGGCGAUCCGCGUGGAGAACAUCUUCUUGGAAUUCCUUAAGAGAUUCAAGCAUGAUCCAAACGCGGUGGAGCCGUUCUAUGAGGCGGAGAUCGAGGCCAUGCGGCACAAGGAAUCCACCACCAUGUACGUGGAUUUCUCCCAUGUCAUGCGCUUCAACGACGUCCUCCAGAAGGCCAUUUCAGAGGAGUACCUCAGAUUCGAGCCCUAUCUGCGGAAUGCUUGCAUGAGAUUCGUAAUGGAGCAGAAAUCGAGCGAGAACAGACAACCUAUCAUCGCAGAUGACAACCCUAACCGCGACAUAAAUGUCGCCUUCUACAACAUUCCAUUGUUAAAAAGGUUGAGGGACCUGACGACAUCAGAGAUUGGGAAGCUGACUUCUGUAAUGGGGGUCGUUACCCGGACAAGUGAGGUCCGGCCAGAGCUCCUGCAGGGGACCUUUAAGUGCCUUGAGUGUGGCGGAGUCAUUAAGAAUGUGGAACAGCAAUACAAGUAUACCGAGCCUAUAAUAUGCAUGAAUGCUACAUGUGCAAACCGAAAUAAGUGGGCAUUGCUUCGGCAAGAGAGCAAGUUCACAGAUUGGCAACGGGUAAGGAUGCAGGAGACAUCUAAAGAAAUACCUGCUGGUUCUCUUCCUCGAUCUUUGGAUGUUAUUCUCCGACAUGAGAUUGUUGAGAAGGCAAGGGCUGGAGACACGGUCAUCUUCACUGGCACAUUGGUUGCGGUGCCAGAUAUUAUGGCACUGACUUCCCCAGGUGAGAGAGCAGAAUGCAGGCGUGAAGCUCCUCAGCGUCAAAAUGUAUCCGGUGGCCAUGGAGGAGUCAGCGGUCUCAAGGCUUUGGGAGUAAGGGAUCUUUCAUAUCGCCUCGCUUUCAUUGCAAACUCAGUGCAGAUAGCAGAUGGUAGAGGGGAUGGAGACAUGAGAGACAGGAAGAUAGAUGUUGAUGACAGUGAUAAACAGGAGUUCACACAAGAAGAGGAAGAUGAGGUGAUGAGGAUGAGGAAUACCCCUGAUUUUUUCAAUAAAUUAGUUGACAGCAUAUGCCCCACGGUUUUUGGUCAUCAAGAAAUAAAGCGAGCAGUUUUGCUUAUGUUAUUGGGUGGUGUGCACAAGUUAACCCAUGAAGGAAUUAACCUUAGAGGUGAUAUCAAUGUGUGCAUAGUAGGAGAUCCAAGCUGUGCAAAGUCUCAGUUCCUAAAGUAUACUUCUAAUCUUGUACCCCGAUCUGUUUAUACAUCAGGAAAAUCCUCCUCUGCUGCAGGUUUGACAGCAACAGUGGCUAAAGAGCCAGAAACCGGGGAGUUCUGUAUUGAGGCAGGAGCUCUAAUGCUUGCAGACAAUGGUAUAUGUUGCAUAGAUGAAUUUGAUAAAAUGGACAUUAGGGACCAGGUUGCUAUACACGAAGCAAUGGAGCAGCAGACUAUAAGUAUCACCAAAGCAGGUAUACAAGCCACGUUGAAUGCAAGAACUUCAAUUUUGGCAGCAGCAAAUCCUACUGGAGGACGCUAUGACAAGUCAAAGCCCCUUAAGUACAAUGUGGCCCUUCCUCCUGCUAUUCUUUCAAGAUUUGAUCUGGUGUACAUUAUGAUCGAUGAACCAGACGAAAACACAGACUACCAUAUUGCUCAUCACAUUGUGAGAGUUCAUCAGAAGAGGGAGGAUGCACUUGCCCCUGCAUUUACAACUGCAGAGUUAAAGCGAUACAUAGCAUAUGCUAAGUCUCUGAAACCUCAGCUUAGUUCGGAAGCAAAAAAUGUGCUAGUGGAAUCAUAUGUAGCUCUUCGUAGAGGUGAUAGUACUCCUGGAACCAGAGUGGCCUACAGAAUGACAGUUAGGCAACUUGAGGCAUUGAUCAGGCUUUCUGAAGCAAUUGCUAGGAGUCAUUUGGAGAAUGUGGUGCUCCCAGCCCAUGUUCGCAUGGCAGUAAGACUCCUAAAAACAUCCAUAAUCAGUGUUGAAUCUAGUGAGAUCGAUCUUUCUGAUUUCCAAGAUCAUGAAGAUGGUGUUGCAGUCAAUGUUCCUGAUCAAGAUGCUGCAGAGUUGGCUUCUGAUGGAAUUGAUCCAGCAACAGAAAAUGGAGGUAAUGAACAAGGAUCUGAGAGUCAUCAGAAAAAGAAACUUGUUAUAACCGAAGAACACUUUCAGAGAGUUACCCAAGCCCUUGUUAUGCGUCUGCGGCAACAUGAGGAGGCAGUAGCGCAAGAUGGAAGUGGUUUGGCUGGAAUGAAGCAGGGGGAUCUAAUUAUUUGGUACGUGGAGCAGCAGAAUGCCGUAGGUGCUUACAGUAACACCGAUGAGGUCCGGGAAGAAGUCAAGUGCAUCAAAGCCAUUAUAGAGAGGUUGAUACAGAGGGAAGGCCAUCUGAUAGUGAUAGAUGAUGGAACGAGCUCAGCAGCGUCGGAUGGUCAAGCAAGAAGAUCGAGUGAGAACCGAAUUCUGGCAGUGGCUCCAAAUUAUAUUGUCGAGUAGGGGCAUCUGCAAGUGCAGGCUGCAGUCCUUUUUAGAGAUUUCUACAUAUAGGAAGACUCGGGAUGGGACAAUUAGAGGCCUUGUGUAUUAACUAAUUACUACCGCAAUGCUCCUCCGUCCAGCUCUAUGCGAGAGUUUGUACCACUAGCGGCAGGGCUCAUUUGUUCUCGUUCUGCUUCUAACGCCGCGCCAGCCCAGUCUCUUCUUAGCCUCUGCUCCUCCCGUCGUCUAGAGAUAGCCUCCAAGAACCUGUGGAGAGUGGGGCAACGACCAGAUGACGAAGAGGGCGCGCAAGGAAGACGGGAGCGAGGCCAGGAAGAAGGCCAAGCGGAUGAGGGUUGAUGGCGGAGGAGGCGGAGAGAAGACGAGCGACGAGAUGACAUUGAAGAAGCUAGGCAUCAAGAGAAUCAUCUGGAAAGUCAACGGCAAAGUGGAAGGCAUCUCGAAGCUAUACGAUGAAGCGGCCGAGGAGGAGGAGGAGGAGCGCGGUUCAAGAACCGCUAAGCGCCAGAGGACUGGGGCGGCCACGAUCGCCGAUGGCUGCGGCCCCAGCGUGAGCAAGAGCACGAGCACCUCCUCCACCGUCGUCGACGAACAACGCCGACAACCACGUCAUGUGACGUCGUUGCCGAUGGAAGCUCGGGUCAAUGACCCUGUUUGCGUUAUGCGGAAGAGGAUCGCCCAGAGCGACAUCGAGAGGCAGCAGCAUCGGCUCCUCCUGCCCGUAAAUCAAGUCAACAAACCAAUGCUCCAAGGCAUGAUGACCGCCGCGGAGAAGACGCGGACGACGGAGAAGAGCGGCCUCCCGAUCAAGAUUCUCGACGGGGCGGGGAGGGAGUACAACCUCAUCCUCAAGUUCAUCCCAUCCAUCAAGACCUACCGCAUCAUGGGACCCGACUACACGAAUCUGGUGGACGACAACGGGAUUCAAACGGGCCACUUUCUUGAUCUCUGGGUGUACCGAGUGGGGCGGAGAGGCAGCGGCGACGGCAUAGCCAACGAAGCCGGCGAGCUCAGGAUGGCCAUAAUAAACAAUGCAAAGCCCGAAGAGGAGGAGGAGGAGGACGAUCGAGAAUGCGCUUUGGCCGACGAAUCUGGAAACGCAGGAGGCAGCGUUUCCGACGGUCUACCGCAUGAGCUCAGCGAUGAAGAGAUGGAGGUAGCAACCGCGCUAGUGAGCUUGAGCCAUGGCAAUGGUGCCGAUGAACGGGAGGCGGCACGCAUACUAGUGUGGAUGAGCCAUCGCGGGCUUCCACAGUGACAUCGUCGUGGUUGUGGAGUGCAAAGACUCCAUAUAUUACAUAUACUCGAUACAUUCACAAUUAAGAGA